AUACAGAGGGUGCGAGCGUUAAUCGGAAUUACUGGGCGUAAAGCGUACGUAGGCGGUUCGUUAAGUUAGAUGUGAAAGCCCCGGGCUUAACCUGGGAACUGCAUUUAAAACUGGCGAACUAGAGUUGAGUAGAGGGGAGUGGAAUUUCAGGUGUAGCGGUGAAAUGCGUAGAGAUCUGAAGGAACACCAGUGGCGAAGGCGACUCCCUGGACUCGAACUGACGCUGAGGUACGAAAGCGUGGGUAGCAAACGGGAUUAGAAACCCCAGUAGUCC
This 274-nucleotide ribosomal RNA is filed under the name uncultured bacterium. RNAcentral describes it as "partial 16S ribosomal RNA". It matches the Rfam family "Bacterial small subunit ribosomal RNA", at positions 523 to 796 of the family's 1533-position model. The record is from RNAcentral.